GUAAAAAUUAGUUAAUAAAUAACAUUAGCUUGUCAAGCUAAAAUAAUCCCGCAGAUAUUUUUA
RNAcentral lists this transfer RNA (63 nucleotides) under Cherax preissii. Its description in RNAcentral is "tRNA-Asp". The record is from RNAcentral. Lineage: Eukaryota; Metazoa; Arthropoda; Malacostraca; Decapoda; Parastacidae.